GCCCUCGGUGGCUCAGAUGGACAGAUGGAUAGAGCGUCUGCCAUGUAAGCAGGAGAUCCCGGGUUCGAGUCCCGGUCAGGGCA
This is a non-coding RNA of Schistocerca piceifrons (Central American locust), 83 nucleotides long. Lineage: Eukaryota; Metazoa; Arthropoda; Insecta; Orthoptera; Acrididae. The record is from the annotation of a RefSeq genome assembly.